RNAcentral lists this ribosomal RNA (460 nucleotides) under uncultured bacterium. RNAcentral describes it as "partial 16S ribosomal RNA". It matches the Rfam family "Bacterial small subunit ribosomal RNA", at positions 338 to 795 of the family's 1533-position model. The record is from RNAcentral.
CCUACGGUAGGCAGCAGUGAGGAAUAUUGGUCAAUGGGCGGGAGCCUGAACCAGCCAAGUCGCGUGAGGGAAGACGGUCCUAUGGAUUGUAAACCUCUUUAGGCGGGGAGCAAUGCCGGGCACGUGUGCCCGGAGGGAGAGUACCCGCAGAAUAAGCAUCGGCUAACUCCGUGCCAGCAGCCGCGGUAAUACGGAGGAUGCGAGCGGUAUCCGGAUGUAGUGGGUGUAAAGGGUGCGUAGGCGGAUUUUUAAGUCAGCGGUAAAAUGUCCGGGCUCAACCCGGGCCGGCCGUUGAAACUGGGGAUCUUGAGUGGGCGAGAAGUAUGCGGAAUGCGUGGUGUAGCGGUGAAAUGCAUAGAUAUCACGCAGAACUCCGAUUGCGAAGGCAGCAUACCGGCGCCCGACUGACGCUGAGGAACGAAAGCGUGGGGAUCGAACAGGAUUAGAUACCCCGGUAGUC